UACGUAGGGGGCAAGCGUUGUCCGGAAUCAUUGGGCGUAAAGAGCGUGUAGGCGGCCCGAUAAGUCCGCUGUGAAAGUCCAGGGCUCAACCCUGGAAUGCCGGUGGAUACUGUCGGGCUCGAAUCCGGAAGAGGUGAGUGGAAUUCCUGGUGUAGCGGUGAAAUGCGCAGAUAUCAGGAGGAACACCAAUGGCGAAGGCAGCUCACUGGGACGGUAUUGACGCUGAGACGCGAAAGCGUGGGGAGCAAACAGG
This 253-nucleotide ribosomal RNA is filed under the name Conexibacter sp. RNAcentral describes it as "partial 16S ribosomal RNA". It matches the Rfam family "Bacterial small subunit ribosomal RNA", at positions 524 to 776 of the family's 1533-position model. The record is from RNAcentral. RNAcentral also lists the same sequence under 4 other names. Lineage: Bacteria; Bacillati; Actinomycetota; Thermoleophilia; Solirubrobacterales; Conexibacteraceae.